AAAAGCAGAAAGCCAUGGACAGCAAUUUAAAAACAACUCCACUAGUCCUGAAGCCAAAUGGCGUUAUUCCUUAAACUCUCCAAGUCACAGACCAAUACACCAACAACCCUAUCACACUCCGGUAUACCAUACCAUUUCGGCUCAGAAAAGACUAGGAACAGGAGGAAAGGAAGUUCGGUAUGGUGGUAAAGACAGCAUGGGUGUAAGAUAUACAGAGGUAUAUUUCUUCAAGCUCAGCCGUCUGUCGGGGAAGAGCUCAGGGCAGGGAGGCGAAGGAAGGUAGCAGCCAGCCGCGCUCUGUCGCGAGCUCCACAUAGCCUCUGAACUUCUCCUGCGCGUUCGGGAUGUCAAGGGUCAGAUCAUCGAGGCCUUCCUUGACACGGGCGAAGCCGUUGGUCAUCUGGUUGAUGGUUAUCAGCCCCUCGCUGGAGCACUCCUGCAGCAGAGCCAAGAUGCUAGCUUCAUUCUGCUUCUCCAUCGCCAUCACCAGCGCUUUCUUCACCACUUCAUGGUUGAAGAAGGGCAUCCCAAGGUCACGGAUGCACUGGCAGGCCUCCUUCAGGUCGCCGCCGGUGUUGUACUCCUCAAGGAGCUUGGAGAUCUUGUCUUUUGCAUCUUCCACAGCCCAGCCAGUGCCCCCACCCCAGCAGCGCAGUAUCCUCUCACCAGAAUGGCGGGCCGCAAGCAGAGAGCUGGCCAUCUGGACAGUUUGACUACCACUGCUGUUUGGCCGCAGCUUGCUACCGAUGUCAUCCAAAUUCAGUGGAAGCAAGACUUCAUCGAUCACUGCCCUGGCGAGGAAGAGGGCGAGUUCACUAGGAGCAUCCACAAUGUCGAGGGCAGUGUCUUCUGCUGACUGCAGGAGCAUUAUGAAUCCCUUCAUGAUAUCACCUGCGGAAAAUAGUUCCAAGCUGAGUGAAGAAAGAAGUACAGAUGCCAUCUCCUUCUCCCUGUUCUUCCUGUCCAUAGCAAGCGUGAUGAGCUUCUUAAGGAAAAUGGCGUUGUAUUCAGGGGCAGAAAGCUCUUCAAGGCUUCUAAUGAGUUCCGGGACGUCAUCUGAGAGGAAAUACUCCUGAAUUAUGUGACCAGACUCUUCUUUAAAACGCUUGACCUUUUCACUGCUUGCAUUCCACAUAUCUUCAUCAGGGGCAGCAGACUUACAGAAUGAAGCAUCAAGCCACCCUUCAGACAUGGCUGUGGAAAGCAGCUUGUCAAAAAGUGCUUUGGCUGAAGGAACAUCAAGGCUCAGGUCAUCAACACAGUCAGCAACCCGAGAAAAGCCCUUCGACACUUGAUUAGAACUGAUCAAACAACCCGUCGUUGAUUCCUUCAACAACUUCAGGAUUAAUGGCUGUGACGACAGAUUCUCCAUACCAAGGAUGAGAGCACGUUUCACAACCUCAUGGUGGAAGAAUGGAAGGCCCAGCUCCCUUAUGCACCUAAAGGCUUCAUCUGUAUCUCCACUCUCAAUGUACUCCCUCAGAAUAUCCUGGAUCCUCUUUUUCGCCUCUUCAACAGUAAAGUGUGUGCUCCCACCCCACUUGCGUUCAACUAACUCUGCAUGGUGAGGAGCUGACAAGUAGCUCUUCUCAGCAACCUGCAGAACUUCAAUGCCUUUUGAAGAUUCUGGAAGCAAUGCUCUGGCUCGAGUGAGAAAAACAGGAGGCAAUAUUUCAUCAACAAUGGCACGUGCCACAAAAACAGCCAAGACAUCAAUAGCGUCUGGUAUAUCCACAGAUAGAUCUUCUGUUGACUCUAGAAGCAUCAUAAAACCUUCACUCAUCUUGGAGGAGUCCAAUAGAUCAGCAUACAAGGCAGACAGCAGAAUUGACGCCAUUUCUUUUUCUUUAUCAUGGCGGUCCAUUGCCAUGGAUAUGAGCUUCUUCACAAAGUAAUUGUGAAACUGAUCGGAUCCAAGACUCCUUAGCUCGGAAACUGACAGUUCCACAUCUCCUGUACUAAAAUACUCCUCAAUUACUGGAACUACAAGCUUCCUGUAGUCAUCUAAUGUAGCAGGAACCUGCAUUUGCAGAGAGGCAAUGUCAGAUUAUAACGUCACAUCAACAGAGAACGAAAUGUUGGUAAUACCAUUGAGUGUAGAUAGUUCAAACCUUUUUAGUUCCAUUAACUAAUUUGCCCAACUCUUGGGAUGGUAACGGAUUUGCAUCUCCAAGGUUGUCUUGUUCAAUUUUCCCACCAACAUCUUCUGAAAGCAGCAUUGACAGAGUUACAACAACAUCCGUAGGAACUAUGAAGAAUAAGAUAGUAUUUCCAAAAAAAUAACCCAAUGCUAAAUCUAUGCAGAAGUAACAGUAGAAAAGAACUAAAUAUUGUCCUCUCAUUGAACUGUAGAAGCAAGCAAACUUCUACAAUCUUUAGAUGUCCGCAGUUAAUAUCACAAAAGCGGACACAUGACGUAUGGAAAUGGAAAAUUAUCAUGGUACCAAAUCACUCCAAAAAUGAAUUUAUUAUACACAAGAAUAAUUACCUAAACAACAACAUCAAGUAAAAAACUGAUGACUUGAGAAACAAGCUAAACAUACUCAUAGCAUUCUAGCUAUGAAGUAUGGAUAUAUGGCGUGAGCUGCUCAACAUUUGGCAGUUGACAUUUAUGGAAAAUAAUAGUCAGAUCCCUCAAUUCGAGAUCGCAUUUGGAGCAGCUUUAAGCUUUGACCACAUGCUUUAACAUAUAGGGAAAUAGAAACCAGUAAGAGAAACAAAGGACAGUAACUACACCAGACUAUAUCAAAACCAACAAAUGCAUAUUCUGCUGAAUCCGUGAGGAUAUUGCGCACUAAAGAAUUUAUAGCCUUCCAGUCAAGAACAAGCAACCAAAAACUAACAGAAACUGUCACAUACAUAAGAUUUUAGGAGUUAUAAGCGUGAGCUUAUAACCCCUCCAGAAGAUAACCAUAGUACCAACUAACCAUGGAGCGCAAAGACAAUACUCAGAACAACAUACCGAAACCGACAAAUCCACUACCAAUUGCAUGACUGAACCGGACAUCAAGCACUGAAGUCCAAUAAAAUCAAUAGGUGUCGUAUAUCGUUGCUGUCAACUUUAGAUAACCAUAAUACUGAGUUACCGACCAACCAUGGAGGGCAAAGACAAUACAGAUAAACAUAUCGGAACCGAAAAAAUCCACUACCAAUUGCAUGACCAAACUGGGCAGCAAGCACUGAAGUCCAAUAAAAACAAGCGGUGUCGUAUAUCGUUGCUGUCAACUUUAGAUAACCAUAAUACCGACCAACCAUGGAGCGCAAAGACAAUACUUAGAUCAACAUAUCGUAACCGACAAAUCCACUACCAAUUGCAAGACCAAACAAGCAGUGUGUAUCAUUGCUGCCAACUUUGUCGGCCACCCAUACGACAUGUCUUAUUGGGUUUCAACCCCUUUCGGAGGAAAAAAAAUAACACCUAUAACUUACCAAAAACCGUCGCCUACACACUAAAUCAUGACUAUCGAAAUCGACAAAUCAACUACCGAUUGCAUGACCAAGCUGAGAACUAAACUCCAAUGAAAAUAAGCAGCGUGUAUCGUUGCUGUCACCUUUGUCGGUGACUGCUACGACAUUUUGGGUUUUAACCCCUUUCGGCAAAAGAAACGGCCAACUGUAACUAACCAGAAACCGUCGCCUACGUACUCAAUCAGGACUCCACAGACAUCAAACCGAACAAUAAUCAAACAGCACCAGCUUCCCGCCACCAUGAACUAUACUCGAUAACGGUCUUCUACCGCUUACAGUGCACUGAAAAACUUCACAAAACAUCAAACCAUCAUCAUACUUGGUAACCAUUGUACUCCCAAAAGCCAUGCUACUCCAUCAGGCAUGCAUAGCAACAGGCAACCCUAGGAACAAGGAACAAAAUUCACGCACGUGCAUCAUCAAAUCACCCUCUAGGGGACAGCAGGUCCCCUGUCCCCAGCAAUAGCAGAACUGAAUAUUUACACUCCCUACGAUUCUAGCCCCAUCUACCAAUUCCGAAACCGACUCCCUACUCCUACGGCAUAGCAUAAUCCAGCACUCCUAUAACAUAAUUCAGCAGUAUAGACAACGUAGAGGAGUACACAAGGUAGCCGUAGCGAGCUGGCAGUCACCUUUCUUAGCGGUGUGGUGGUGUGGGAUGUGGCGGACGGCGAUCCCGCCGUCCGCCGGCGCCCGCCCGCCUGUGGCGAUGCGCAGAUGCCCCUCCGCCAGCAUCCUGGUGGGCGACCUCGCGCCGUCCUCCGCCGCCAUCUCCCUCUGCCUCCUCCGCGCGCCCUCCUGCACGCACACGCACACGCACACGCACACAGACCCAAUCAAAUCAGCACAGAGAACCGAGCGCCAGCAAGGGGCCGAAUCGAACCAACCGACCCCCGGGGCCGAUCGGGGGGAGCUGUUGUCGUGGAUACCUGCUGAGAUCGGAGGCGGCGGCGGGGCAGCGGCGGAAGCAGGCGAGGCGGAUCACGGGCGUGCGCCGCGCGGUGAGUGCGAGCGGAGAGGCGAGGCGGGGCGGGGCAGGGGGGAGGGAGUUUUUUAUUUAUCGGGCUACUAUCCCGCUCUGACACCUAUCGUUUAUAAUGGGCCGCCUGCGCAAAUCACAUUUACCCCCGGGUGUGCUAAGUUAAUCCCCCGGGCUUAACUGGACUUUUUUCCACCGCAAAAUGGAAAAUCUGGACUUUUUUCACGGCUUUUCUUUUCUUACUUCCCAAGCACCACCGCCGUGAGACCGAUGGAAGAAGAGGUCGGCGCGCUGUCGUGCAGGACCCGCUAACCCUCAGUGACAUAAUUAUAUCCCUAAAAAUGCUCUCAGUGACAUUAAUGCGGGACCACCUGCCAGUCAUGCCUCACGGCCUCGCGGCGUGUCGUUGUCGCGGGGCGGGGGCUCUGCGUCCGUGGAACGGGCGCAUGGGCCGGUGGGUGGUGGGGCGGCUGGGGGAGCGGGUGGCGCAUGGACGCGGCGGGCUCACGUGGAUCGGGCGGAUGGCCUGCGGGGAGCAGCGGAUGGGGAUGGACGUGUGUGGUGGUUCGGGGCUAGGCUGACACGUCAGGGGGGCGUCGGAAAGCUGGCCGUCCCUUUCCAGCCCCGCACGCGGCGGCGACGACGAGGAAGCGGCGGUGCCCUCGCCUCGCCGCACCGGCUGUAUCGAUCGGUGACAAAAAUCCACCUCAGGGUUCACUGGCCGCACCUGUAACUGACCGGCUUUACCUCAUUUUCUGAAACGGAAGGACUCCUCCGCUGUGGCUUUUGUUUCAGUUGCAAUCACAUGGAUGCACGAUAAUAUGGCUUCAGUUGCAUCUUUACAGCCUGUGAGUGUGUUNNNNNNNNNNNNNNNNNNNNNNNNNNNNNNNNNNNNNNNNNNNNNNNNNNNNNNNNNNNNNNNNNNNNNNNNNNNNNNNNNNNNNNNNNNNNNNNNNNNNNNNNNNNNNNNNNNNNNNNNNNNNNNNNNNNNNNNNNNNNNNNNNNNNNNNNNNNNNNNNNNNNNNNNNNNNNNNNNNNNNNNNNNNNNNNNNNNNNNNNNNNNNNNNNNNNNNNNNNNNNNNNNNNNNNNNNNNNNNNNNNNNNNNNNNNNNNNNNNNNNNNNNNNNNNNNNNNNNNNNNNNNNNNNNNNNNNNNNNNNNNNNNNNNNNNNNNNNNNNNNNNNNNNNNNNNNNNNNNNNNNNNNNNNNNNNNNNNNNNNNNNNNNNNNNNNNNNNNNNNNNNNNNNNNNNNNNNNNNNNNNNNNNNNNNNNNNNNNNNNNNNNNNNNNNNNNNNNNNNNNNNNNNNNNNNNNNNNNNNNNNNNNNNNNNNNNNNNNNNNUCAAGGGCGCAUUCGGCCUGUGCCCAGCCAAGCCCGUGCGAUGCAGUUUUAGCCCAUUUGGUAGCCUUUGUAUGCAUCCAAAUAUUGGUCACCGUGCGGGUCGGAGGCUGGCAACUAAACACAAUUUCUUUUGUUUUCCUUUUUCUCUGGUUCCAUCGUUUUCCUGAGUUUUUUUUGUGUGUUUUCGUUGUUUCAUUUCUUCGUAUUUCCUUUUCAAUUUCUUAUUUCUAAUUGUUUUUCAUUUUUCUAAUUUCGUGAAUUUUUAAAGUUUGGAAAAAAUGAAUUUCAUGUGGGUCUUUUGAAGUUUAGUAACAAUUUUUGGAAUCUGUGAAUAUUUUUAAAAUCGAUGACUUUUUUUUGAAAUUUUUGAACAUUUUGAAUCGAUAAAUUUUUUUCUGAAUUGAUGAAUAAUUUUGGGAAUUCACGAAUAUUUUUGAAUUCAUGAGUUUUUGGAAUUUGAAACAUUUUUAAAAUCAAUGAACUUCUUUUGUAGUCAUCGGAAUUUUUUAAAUUUGUGAAUCAUUUUUUAAAAUUCAAAAGAUUUUCCAUGUUUGUGAACAUUAUAUGAAAUCUGGGAAUAUUUUUCAAAUUUGUGAACUUUUUUUUCCAACCGGGAACAAAUUUUAAACUGCACAUUUAAAAAAAUGCAAAACAUGUUUCUAAAUUUGCAACUUUAAAAAAAUUAAUGAACAUGUUUUGAAAUUCCAAACUUUCUUUGAAAUCCUAAAGAUUUGUUGAAGACACAGAAAAAUAUAAAACAAAAGGCAAAAGGCAAAAAAAAAACAAGGGAGACCCUUUGUGCACGUGGGUCGGCCCAAAUUCGCGUGUGGGGGAGCAUGGGUUAUGUGUUAGCUCGAUUUCCACCACAAGUCAAGGAGUAGGAGCUCCUGUCGGGAAGGAGUUGCUCUAGCAAAGAAUCUUAACCUUACACACACUAAGAUUGUGUGGUGGUGAAAGAUAUCGAGUAGGGAGCAAGUAAAUCCUAUGGUACAUUCCUCUAAGAGAUUAAGGCGUGGAAGACAUCUCUGCAAAGUUGUCAUUUUAUAUAUGAACAUGGAAGCUCUAAUUUCGAGGCUCAUACCCUUACAAAGCACGCCUCUAUUUUUGGUAUUGGCCGUCAUUUUUGGCUGGGUCUCGCAUACGAUCUUGUCACAGUAUCUAUAAACAUUCUUACUGAGUAAUAAUAAAGUGUGUGUUUGCCUAAAAAAUCCAAAUAUUGGCUCGCGUGAUGUUUAGAGCACCUCCUAGAUAGACCCGCUAGGAACGGACGAAUAGGUCGUUUCCUCUCAUCCAAGCUCGCGCGAGUAGGGUAGGGGAAUGCAACAUCAAGCUCAUGCGAGUUGGGAGAUGGCGUGAGCUCGCGCGCAUCCACAAAAAAGCAACGGAAGGAAUUGGGUCACCUCCCGUCGGAUCGGUCGCCCUAUUUGGCCACAUUCGCCUCACCGCUGAAACCCCGCCACCAUCAUUCCUUCAAGCUUUCCAUCCUAUGCGGAUCCUUCGUCGAUGAGCGGGUAAGUGACGCAUCUUCUACUACGUGUGGUAGAGGACAGAGGAGCUUUGUCUUCCUCCAUUUCUCCUCCCUGUUGUGGGCCUCCGCGCGGGUUCACCGAUGGCUGUAAGUUCGAUCACUGCCUCCUCCCUACGCGUUCGAGUUUAGAUCUAUAAGCAUGUGGUAGGAGUAGAUCUCUGAGCAUGUGGCAGCAUUGUAGACUGUCAAUAUAUUAGCAUGUGAUAUUAUGGUAGCUAGUAGUGAUGGAUUGGUAGCAUGCUAGUUUUUGCUUCUAGGAUUUGAUGAUCUUCAUGUUUGUUUUUCAUGUUGGUUUUGACGACACUAUGGUAGAAGUGUGAAAGUGCAACUAUCCCUGGGUGGUUUUGGUAAUGAUUAACAACAUAUAGCUCAUUGAACUAAUGUCAUUACAAGAUAAAUAUUUUAGGAAAGUUCAAUGAUUGGCAUGGCGUAGAUAAGGAAUGUGGACCCCUCAAAAUGCUAAGGGCAAAAGGUUGGCUCAAGCUUCAAAAGUCCAAGACUCUACAUUUUCUAUUUGAGUGAUCAAAGAUCACAUUGAGUCUAUAGGAAAGUCAAUACUAUUAAAAGGGGAUGAGGUGUUGCUUAAUGGCUUGCUUGCUCAAAGUGCUUAAUGAUAUGCUCCAAAGCCCUCAACCACUUUCUAAUAUCCACAUAUGUCCCAAACCAAAAGUCAAACUCGGCCCCACCGAUUUGAUCUAUCCGGCGCCACCGAGUUCAUUUGACAUAGCCACUGCCAGAGACCCUAGUCUUUUCGGUCUCACUGAUAGGGAUCUCGGUCUCACCGAGAUGGGGUUGCAAACUCUCUGUUUCCCUUCAUAAUGUUUCGGUCUAACCGAGAUGAGCGAUCGGACUCAUCGAGUCUACAAUGCAAACUCUCUAUUUCCUUUUCGUAAUGCUUCGGUCCUACCGAGACGAGCGAAUCGGUCCCACCGAGUUUGCCUGACCAACUCUCUGGUUAGCUUAUUACCAAAGUCGGUCCAACCGAGUUUGUGUAAUCGGUCAAACCGAGAUUAUGUUAUGCCCUAACCCUAAUGAUAUCGGUCCCACCGAGAUGACAUGUCGGUCCCACCGAAAUUGCCUAGCGGUCACAUAUGCACUGAAUCGGUCCGAUCGAGUUUUUUGAUUCGGUCCCACCGAGUUUGGUAUAAUGUGUGUAACAGUUAGAUUUUGUGUGGAGGCUAUAUAUACCCCUCCACCCUCUCCUUAUUCGUGAGGGAAGCCAUCAGAACGUGCCUACACUUCCACUACUCUUUUUCUAAGAGAGAGCCACCUACUCAUGUGUUGAGACCAUGAUAUUCCAAUCCAACCAUAUGAAUCUUGACCUCUAGCCUUCCCCAAGUUACUUUCCACUCAAAUCAGCUUUCCACCAAAUCCAAUCUUAUGAGAGUGAGUUGAGUGUUGGGGAGACUAUCAUUUGAAGCACAAGAGCAAGGAGUUCAUCAUCAACACUCCAUCUAUUACCUUUUGGAGAGUGGUGUCUCCUAGAUUGGUUAGGUGUCACUUGGGAGCCUCCGACAAGAUUGUGGAGUUGAACCAAGGAGUUUGUAAGGGCAAGGAGAUCGCCUACUUCAUGAAGAUCUACCCAAGUGAGGCAAGUCCUUCGUGGGCGAUGGCCAUGGUAGGAUAGACAAGGUUGCUUCUUCGUGGAUCCUUCGUGGGUGGAGCCCUCCAUGGACUCGAGCAUCCGUUACCCUUUGUGGGUUGAAGUCUCCAUCAACGUGGAUGUACGAUAGCACCACCUAUCGGAACCACGCCAAAAACAUUUGUGUCUCCAAUUUUGUUUGCACUCUUCAAACUCUUCCCUUUACAUUCUUGCAAGUUGCCUGCUUUACUUUCAGCUGCUUAUAUACUCAUUGCAUGCUUGCUUGAAUUGUGUUAAGAUUGCUUGACUUGUGCUAAGUUGUUAAAAUCUGCCAAGAACUAAAAUUGGAAAAAGGUUAAGUUUUUAUUUGGUCAAGUAGUCUAAUCACCCCCCCAUCUAGACAUACUUUCCAUCCUACAAUUGGUAUUAGAGGUUUGGUCUCCAUUUGCUUUGAUUUCCAUAGCGUUUGGUUAUCAUAGCCUUGGUCUCACAACCUAGGAAAGUAUGGCAUCUAGCGAGGGAAAUUACCACCAUAGAGGUCCUUACUUUGAUGGUACAAAUUUUGCUAGUUGGAAGCAUAAGAUGAAAAUGCAUAUUCUUGGACAUAACCCCACCGUUUGGGCUAUUGUGUGUAUUGGCUCGCAAGGUGAAUUCUUUGAUGGGAAAGAACCAAACCAUGAAGCUACCGCGAAAGAGUUGAAGAUGUUGCAAUACAACACUCAAGCUUGUGAUAUCCUCUUCAACAGAUUGUGCCCCGAAGAAUUCAACAAAAUCAGCCGCCUUGAGAAUGUAAAGGAAAUUUUGGAUACUUUGAUUGACAUGCACGAAGGUACCGACUCCGUCAAGGAAUCCAAAUUGGAUGUGCUUCAAAGUCAACUUGACAAGUUCAAAAUGAAGGAUGGUGAAGGUGUCGCUGAAAUGUACUCUAGGCUUGCUCUCAUCACAAAUGAGAUUGCCGGCUUAGGAAGUGAAGAGAUGACCGACAAAUUCAUCAUCAAGAAGAUCCUAAUAGCCUUGGAUGGAAAAUAUGAUACCGUGUGCACAUUGAUCCAAAUGAUGCCCAAUUACAAAGAUCUCAAGCUAACAAAAGUCAUUGGAAGAAUUGUUGCUCAUGAGAUGUCACUCAAGGAUAAGGAAGAGCUUCACAACAUGUCAAAUGGUGCUUAUAAAGCCUCAUGUGAUGCUCCUGCAUCAUCAAGUGAGAAACAAACCUUCAAUGAGGAAUUGAGCUUAAUGGUGAAAAAUUUCAACAAGUUCUACAAGAGUAGAAGCAAGGAAAGAAGUUCCAAGUCAAGGUCCUACAAUGACAAAAGAUCUUCAAGUCGUGGACGAAAUUGUUACAAUUGUGGAAGACCCGGACACUAUUCCAAUGAGUGUACGACUCCUUACAAAAGGAGAGAAGAUUCACCCAAAAGAGAGAAGGAGUAGAGAUGAUCACUAUGAACGAAGAACAUCCUGGAGAAGCAAGGAUUCGGAAAGGAGGGACAAAUCAUCAAAGAGCUACACAAAACAAAGACAUCAAACUCAUGUUGGUGAAUGGGUAUCCGGCUCCGACUCCGACAAUCACUCCGAGAGAAGCUAUCACUCCGACUCCGGAUAUACUCAAGAUGAAGGUGUUGCCAGUCUAGCACUCGUGUCAACCAACUCCUACAAAAUAUUUGACUCACCAAAUGAAGGAAUUGAAAGAUGCUUCAUGGCUAAAGGCCCAAAUGUAUCACACCCCGAGUAUGUUGAUUUCAAUAAUGAUGAAGAUGACUUGUUAGGUGAUGAUUUACUUGUUGACAACUCUAAUGAUGAAUACUAUGAUGAAACGUCAAAUAAUCAUGCUAAUCAAGAUAAAACGAAUGACAAUGAUAAGGAGAAGAUUGAGCGCCUAACUAAAGAACUAAACAAUGUUAAGCUAGCUCAUGAAACUAACUUGGAAGAUCAUCGAGAACUUUUAAAGACUCAUGAGAAGUUACGCUUUGAAAAGCUCAAUCUUGAGCAAGAGCAUGAGUUUUUAAAGGCAAUCAAUGAUGAUCUUCGCAAGAAAAGUUCUUCUUACAUUGCCAAGAGUUUACUCUUAUCUACUUACAUGCCACAAGUCAAGUCUAGUAACAAGAGCAAGCAAGAUUCUUCUAGUAGUAACAAUAAUCAUGCUAAAUCCAAUGUUGUUGUUUUUAGUAGUUCUCUUGAUUCCACUAAUGAUUCUCUUAGCCAAGUUACACUUGAGCAAGAAAAUAGCUUAUUGAAGGGUAUUAUAGAGAAGGGUGUCUACAAGAGCCUUGCCAGGAGUAAGCAAUUUGAAGAAAUUGUACGCAAGCAAGGAAGGCACCGAAAGAAUCAAGGUGUUGGUUUUGAACGAAAGUUCAAUGCCAAUGGAGUUGAGUGGGAAGAAGAUCAAUAUCCCAAGACGAAGUUUGUUCCCCAACAAGAGAAGUAUGAUCCUACUUCUUUCCAAGGGACACAAGCUCAAGAUGAUCUUCCACCACAAGACCACAAGCAAAAAGGCAAGGACAAGCCUCAAGAGGAGAUUGAUGCAUUUGAAGAAGCUCCCAAGGCCUUGGUCAAGUGGGUUCCCAAGACUACAUCAAGUUCUACUUCAUCAAGUUCCACUACUACCCCAAGGAUUCCCAUCAAGAUGAUGUGGAUCCCAAAGAAGAAGAACUAGAGAGUUCUUGAGGGUGACUCUGCCAAUGUACUUCACUCAUAUCGUUUUGGCAAGGACAAGUGCAAUCAACUUCCACAUCUUACACUAGUUCAAGGAGUCACAAACCCUCUUGUUGGUAAGACAAGGGACAAGGUAACCAAAUGCUUUCAUGGAAAUCAUCUUGUGUAUGCAUCACUCUAUGUAUAUGGACAUUCUUGCUUGUUCCUUGUGGGACUAACCCGUGUAGGUACUGAAAGUGCAACUCACUCCAAUGGAUUGCUCCAAAUGGUCAACAACAUUGAGCAUCCAUAUCUUCAACACCUACAUGAAGUCAUCAUCGACAAAACCCAAGGUUAGUUCAUCCCUCUUAGGAGGGGGAUCGCACAUCUAGUGGGAGCUUUACUCUAAAGAAUUGAGCUAAAGCAACUCUAAUGGUAUGAACACAACAAUGCUUUAUGUAAAAGUGGUAACCCCACUUGUGCUUAAAAUGAUGAGUAUGACCUAUGAUCAAAUAUUCUCAUUUGACUCAUAAGUCAAUAUACUCAUAAAUAGAUGACCUAGUCAUCGCCAAUUGCUUGAUAGAUGCUAGAAUUGGUUGUGCAUGUGAUGUCUACUACACAACCUUCUUCUUGUAGACGUUGUUGGGCCUGCAAGUGCACAGGUUUGUAGGACAGUAGCAAAUUUCCCUCAAGUGGAUGACCUAAGGUUUAUCAAUCCGUAGGAGGCGUAGGAUGAAGAUGGUCUCUCUCAAACAACCCUGCAACCAAAUAACAAAGAGUCUCUUGUGUCCCCAACACACCCAAUACAAUGGCAAAUUGUAUAGGUGCACUAGUUUGGCGAAGAGAUGGUGAUACAGGUGCAAAAUAGAUAGUAGAUAUAGGUUUUUGUAAUCUGAAAUAAUAAAAACAGCAAGGUAACAAGUGGUAAAAGUGAGCGUAAACGGUAUUGCAAUGAUAGGAAACAAGGCAUAGGGUUCAUACUCCACCAGUGCAAGUUCUCUCAACAAUAAUAACAUAGAUAGAUCAUAUAACAAGCCCUCAACAUGCAACAAAGAGUCACUCCAAAGCCACUAAUAGAGGAAAACAAACGUAGAGAUUAUGGUCGGGUACGAAACCACCACAAAGUUAUUCUUUCGGAUCGAUCUAUAAAAGAGUUUGUACUAGAAUAACACCUUAAGACACAAAUCAACAAAAACCCUAAUGUCACCUAGAUACUCUAUUGUCACCUCAAGUAUCCGUGGGCAUGAUUAUAUGAUAUGCAUCACACAAUCUCAGAUUCAUCCAACCAACAUAAAAGUACUUCAAAGAGUGCCCCAAAGCUACUACCGGAGAGUCAAGAACGUGUGCCAACCCCUAUGCAUAGGUUCCCAAUUAUCACGAAACCCGCAAGUUGAUCACCAAAACAUACAUCAAGUGGCACAUGAUAUCCCAUUGUCACCACAGAUAAUCACGGCAAGACAUACAUCAAGUGUUCUCAUAAAGACUCAAUCCGAUAAGAUAACUUCAAAAGGGGAAACUCAAUUCAUCACAAGAGAGUAGAGGGGGAGAAACAUCAUAAGAUCCAACUACAAUAGCAAAGCUCGGGAUACAUCAAGAUCGUGCCAUAGAGGAACAGGAGAGAGAACACGAGAGCGAGAGAGAUCAAACACAUAGCUACUGGUACAUACCCUCAGCCCCGAGGGUGAACUACUCCCUCCUCGUCAUGGAUAGCGCCGGGAUGAUGAAGAUGGCCUCCGGUGAUGGGAUCCCCCUCCGGCAGGGUGCCGGAACAGGGUCCCGAUUGGUUUUUGGUGGCUAUAGAGGCUUGCGGCGGCGGAACUCCCGAUCUAGGUUCUGUUCUGGAAGUUUAAGGGUACGUAGGUAUAUAUGGGUGAAAGGAGAACGUCGGUGGAGCUUCGGGGGGCCCACGAGGCAGGGGGCGCGCCCAGGGGGGUGGGCGCACCCCCACCCUCGUGGCCAGCUCCCGUAUCUUCUGACGUGGGGUCCAAGUCCAUCAGGUGGGUUUCCUUCCAAAAAUAACUUCUUCAGUUGAUUUCGUUCCGUUUUGACUCCGUCUGAUAUUCCUUUUCCUCGAAACACUGAAAUAGGCAUAAAACAACAAAUCUGGGCUGGGCCUCCGGUUAAUAGGUUAGUCCUAAAAUAAUAUAAAAGUGGAUAAUAAAGCCCAAUAUUGCCUAAAACAGUAGAUAAAGUAGCAUGGAGCAAUAAAAAUUAUAGAUAUGUUGGAGACGUAUCAAGCAUCCCCAAGCUUAAUUCCUGCUCCUCCUCGAGUAGGUAAAUGAUAAAAAGAGAAUUUUUGAUGCGGAGUGAUACUUUGGCAUAAUUUCAAUGUAAAUCUUCUUAAUCGAGGUAUGAGAUCCGAAAGAUUCAAGACAAAAGUUCAUAUUGACACAAAAAUAAUAAUACUUCAAGCAUACUAAUCGAAGCAAUCACGUCUUCUCAAAAUAACAUGGCAAAAGAAAGGUCAUCCCUACAAAAUCAUAUAGUUAGGCUAUGCUUCAUUUUCGUCACACAAAGAUGUUCCCAACUUCUAUACCCCCGAUGACAAGCCAAGCAAUUGUUUCGUACUUAAAUAAUCUCAAACCUUUUUCAACCUUCACGCAAUACAUGAGCGUGAGCCAUGGAUAUAACACUAUGGGUGGAAUAGAAUAUGAUGAUGGGGAUUGUGUGGAGAAGACAAAAAAGGAGAAAGUCUCACGUUGACGAGGCUAAUCAACGGGCUAUGGAGAUGCCCAUCAAUUGAUGUCAACAUGAGGAGUAGGGAUUGCCAUGCAACGGAUGCACUAGAGCUAUGAAUGCUCAACAAAAGAAAACUAGUGGGUGUGCAUCCAACUCGCUUGCUCACGAAGACCUAGGGCAUUUGAGGAAGCCCAUCGUAGGAAUAUACAAGCCAAGUUCUAUAAUGAAAAAUUCCCACUAGUAUGAAAAAGACAACUUAUGAGACUCACUAUAUGAAAAACAUGGUGCUACUUUGAAGCACAAUAUAUGAGACUCACUACAUGAAGAACGAGGUGCCACUUUGAAGCACAAUAUAUGAGACUCACUACAUGAAGAACAUGGUGCUACUUUGAAGCACAAGUGUGGAAAAAGAGAUAGUAGCAUUGCCCCUUUUUUUGGGCCUUUAUUUUUUUUGGCCUUUCUCUUUUUUUUGGGCAAUGCUCUAAUAAUGAUGAUCAUCACACUUCUAUUGAUUACCACAUGAGGAUUACAACUCGAAACUAGAACAAGGUAUGACUCUAUAUGAAUGCCUCCGACGGUGUACCGGGAUGGUGCAAUGAAUCAAGAGUGACAUGUAUGAAAAAUAAUGCAUGGUGGCUUUGCCACAAAUACGAUGUCAACUACAUGAUCAUGCAAUGGCAAUAUGACAAAAGUAAUGUAUGUCAUAAUAAUGAUGAACGGAACGGUGGAAAGUUGCAUGGCAAUAUAUCUUGGAAUGGCUAUGGAAAUGCCAUAAUAGGUAGGUAUGGUGGCUGUUUUGAGGAAGAUAUAGGGAGGUUUAUGUGUGAUAGAGCGUAUCGUAUCACAGAGUUUGGAUGCACCGGCGAAGUUUGCGCCAACUCUCAAUAUGAGAAAGGGCAAUGCACGGUACCGAAGAGGCUAGCAAUGGCGGAAAGGUAAAAGUGCGUAUAAUCCAUGGACUCAACAUUAGUCAAAAGAACUCAUAUACUUGUUGCAAAAAUUUAGAAGUCAUCAAAAAUUCAAGUACUACGCGCAUGCUCCUAGGGGGAUAGAUUGGUAGGAAAAGACCAUCGCUCGUCCCCGACCGCCACUCAUAAGGAUGCACAAGCCAGGUACACUUCAUGUUUCAAAUUUGUUACACAACUUUAACCAUACGUGCAUGCUACGAGAUUUACCAACUUCAACACAAGUAUUUCUCAAAUUCACAACUACUCAACUAGCAUGACUUUGAUAUUAUUACCUCCAUAUCUCAAAACAAUUAUCAAGCAUCAAACUUAUUUUAGUAUUCAACACACUCAAAAGAAAGUUUCACAUAUCUUGAACACCACGUAUAUUAACAUUAAGCAAAUUACCAUGCUAUUAACGAAUCUCAAAAUAAUAUAAGUGAAGCAUGAGAGUUCAAUAGUUUCUUUAAAACAAAUCCACCACCGUGCUCUAAAAGAUCUAAGUGAAGCACUAGAGCAAAAAUUAUCACGCUCAAAAGAUAUAAGUGAAGCACAUAGAGUAUUCUAGCAAAUUCCAAUUUGUUUAUGGCUCUAUCUCAAUAAAGAAUUCAGAUCUUGAUACUUCAUUCAAACAGCAAGCAAAGCUAAAGAAAACUACAAUGCAAGGAUAGCACAACUCAUGUGAAGAAGCAAAAACUUAGGCUCAACCGAUACUAACCGAUAGUUGUUGAAGAAGAAAGGUGGGAUGCCUACCGGGGCAUCCCCAAGCUUAGAUGCUUGAGACUUCUUGAAAUAUUAUCUUGGGGUGCCUUGGGCAUCCCCAAGCUUGAACUUUUGUGUCUCCUUAAUUACUCUCAUAUCAUGGUUUCUCUUUUUACCAAAAGCUUCAUACACAACAAACUCAACAAGAACUCGUGAGAUAGGUUAGUAUAAACCAAUGCAAAACCUUAUCAUUUUCUACUGUAACAAAUCACUAAUAUUAUUAUUACACAUUGAAUACUAAAUGCCUCUGUAUAUUUAAUACUCCUAUCCUCAAAUAGAAUCAUUAAACAAGCAAACAUAUGCAAACAAUGCAACCAUAACAGCAAUCUACCAAAACAGUACAGUCUGUAAAGAAUGCAAGAGUAACAAUACUUACCUGACUCCAAAAAUUAUGAACUAAAAUUCCCACUGUAAUAAAUUUAUCAUAUCUUAAUAUGCAAAAAGAUUCAACGUUAUACCAUUCUCCGACUUUUCUAGAGAAUUUUUGCAAAAGCGGUAAACUUUCUGUUUUCAAACAGCAACAUGUAUACUAGCAAAAUAAGCAUGGCAAAGGCUAUCCUUGACUUUUUUAUUGAACCUAAAGAUGAAAAUAAUUAUUCUAACUAACAUCAAUCAAAAACUAACAAAAUAAAAUGACGCUCCAAGCAAAACACAUAUCAUGUGGCGAAUAAAAAUAUAGCUCCAAGUAAAGUUACCGAUAAACGAGGACGAAAGAGGGGAUGCCUUCCGGGGCAUCCCCAAGCUUAGGCUCUUGGUUAUCCUUUAAUAUUACCUUGGGAUGCCUUGGGAAUCCCCAAGCUUAGUCUCUUUCCACUCCUUAUUCCAUAGUCCAUCGAAUCUUUACCCAAAACUUGAAAACUUCAACCACACAAAACUCAAAACAAAACACAUAAGCUCCGUUAGCAUAAGAAAAUAAACCACCACUUAGGUACUGUAAUGAACUCAUCCUAAAUUCAUAUUUGGUGUAAUAUAUACUGUAUUCUAACUUCUCUAUGGUUCAUACCACUUAAUACUAGCCAUAGAUGCAUCAAAAUAAGCAAACAACACAAUGAAAACAGAAUCUGUCAAAAACAGAACAGUCUGUAGUAAUCUGUAUCAAACGUAUACUUCUAGAACCCAAAAAAUCAUUAAAUAAAUUGCUGGACCAGGGAAAUUUGUCUAUUAGUAAUCUGAAAAAAUAAUCAACCUAAAAGCACUCUCCAGUAAAACAUGGCAGCUAAUCUCGUGAGCGCUAAAGUUUCUGUUUUUCACAGCAAGAUCAUAUAAACUUCACCCAAGUCUUCCCAAAGGUUCUACUUGGCACUUUAUUGAAACAAAAGCUAUAAAACAUGAUUACUACAGUAGCAUAAUCAUGUGGACACACAAGAACAGUAAGGAUAAAUAUUGGGUUAUCUCCCAACAAGUGCUUUUCUUUAAUGUCUUUUAGCUAGGCAUGAUGAUGACAAUGAUGCUCACAUAAAAGAUAAGAAUUGAAACAUAACGGGAGCAUCAUGAAGCAUAUGACUAGCACAUUUAAGUCUAACCCACUUCCUAUGCAUAGGGAUUUUGUGAGCAAACAACUUAUGGGAACAAUAAUCAACUAGCAUAGGAAGGUAAAACAAGCAUAGCUUCAAAAUUUUAAGCACAUAGGGAGGAAACUUGAUAUUAUUGCAAUUCCUACAAGCAUAUGUUCCUCUCUCAUAAUAAUUUUCAGUAGCAUCAUGAAUGAAUUCAACAAUAUAACCAGCACCUAAAGCAUUCUUUUCAUGAUCUACAAGCAUAGAAAAUUCACUACCCUCCACAUAAGCAAAACUCUUCUCAUUCGGAAUAGUAGUGGGAGCAAACUCAACAAAAUAACUAUCAUAUGAUUGAAAAUUAAGAUCAAGAUGACAAGUUUCAUGGUUAUCAUUAUUCUUUAAAGCAUACGUGUCAUCACAAUAAUCAUCAUAGAUAGGAGGCAUGCUUUCAUCAUAGUAAAUUUGCUCAUCAAAGCUUGGGGGACAAAAAAUAUCAUCUCCAUCAAACAUAGCUUCCCCAAGCUUGUGGCUUUGCAUAUCAUUAGCAUCAUGGAUAUUCAAGGAAGUCAUACUAACAACAUUGCAAUCAUGCUCAUCAUUCACAUAUUUAGUUCCAAACAUUCUAUAGAUUUCUUCUUCUAGCACUUGAGCACAAUUAUCCAUUCCAUCAUACUCACGAAAGAUAUUAAAAAGGUGAAGCGUAUGAGACAAACUCAACUCCAUUUUUUUGUAUUUUUCUUUUAUAAACUAAACAAGUGCUAAAACAAGAAACAAAAAGAUUCGAUUACAAGAUCUAAAGAUAUACCUUCAAGCACUCACCGCACCAAAAAAAGAGCUUAGUUGACGGAGUGUGAGUACCCUUUACCUAGCCUCCCCGGCAACGGCGCCAGAAAAGAGUUUGAUGUCUACUACACAACCUUAUUCUUGUAGACGUUGUUGGGCCUGCAAGUGCACAGGUUUGUAGGACAGUAGCAAAUUUCCCUCAAGUGGAUGACCUAAGGUUUACCAAUCCGUAGGAGGCGUAGGAUGAAGAUGGUCUCUCUCAAACAACCCUGCAACCAAAUAACAAAGAGUCUCUUGUGUCCCCAACACACCCAAUACAAUGGCAAAUUGUAUAGGUGCACUAGUUCGGCGAAGAGAUGGUCAUACAAGUGCAAAAUAGAUAGUAGAUAUAGGUUUUUGUAAUCUGAAAUAAUAAAAACAGCAAGGUAACAAGUGGUAAAAGUGAGCGUAAAUGGUAUUGCAAUGAUAGGAAACAAGGCCUAGGGUUCAUACUUUCACUAGUGCAAGUUCUCUCAACAAUAAUAACAUAGAUAGAUCAUAUAACAAACCCUCAACAUGCAACAAAGAGUCACUCCAAAGCCACUAAUAGUGGAGAACAAACGUAGAGAUUAUGGUCGGGUACGAAACCACCACAAAGUUAUUCUUUCGGAUCGAUCUAUAAAAGAGUUCGUACUAGAAUAACACCUUAAGACACAAAUCAACCAAAAUCCUAAUGUCACCUAGAUACUCCAUUGUCACCUCAAGUAUCCGUGGGCAUGAUUAUACGAUAUGCAUCACACAAUCUCAGAUUCAUCCAACCAACAUAAAAGUACUUCAAAGAGUGCCCCAAAGCUACUACCGGAGAGUCAAGAAUGUGUGCCAACCCCUAUGCAUAGGUUCCCAAUUGUCACGAAACCCGCAAGUUGAUCACCAAAACAUACAUCAAGUGGCACAUGAUAUCCCAUUGUCACCACAGAUAAUCACGGCAAGACAUACAUCAAGUGUUCUCAUAAAGACUCAAUCUGAUAAGAUAACUUCAAAAGGGGAAACUCAAUUCAUCACAAGAGAGUAGAGGGGGAGAAACAUCAUAAGGUCCAACUACAUAGCAAAGCUCGGGAUACAUCAAGAUCGUGCCAUAGAGGAACAUGAGAGAGAACACGAGAGAGAGAGAGAUCAAACACAUAGCUACUGGUACAUACCCUCAGCCCCGAGGGUGAACUACUCCCUCCUCGUCAUGGAUAGCGCCGGUAUGAUGAAGAUGGACUACGAUGAUGGGAUCCCCCUCCGUCAGGGUGCCGGAACAGGGUCCGAUUGGUUUUUGGUGGCUACAGAGGCUUGCGGAGGUGGAACUCCCGAUCUAGGUUCUGUUCUGGAAGUUUUAGGGUACGUAGGUAUAUAUGGGUGAAAGGAGAACGUCGGUGGAGCUUCGGGGGUCCCACGAGGCAGGGGGCGUGCCCGGGGGGGUGGGUGCACCCCCACCCUUGUGGCCAACUCCCGUAUCUUCUGACGUGGGGUCCAAGUCCAUCAGGUGGGGUUCCUUCCAAAAAUAACUUCUCCAGUUAAUUUCGUUCCGUUUUGACUCCGUCUGAUAUUCCUCUUCCUCGAAACACUGAAAUAGGCAUAAAACAGCAAAUCUGGGCUGGGCCUCCGGUUAAUACGUUAGCCCCAAAAAUAAUAUAAAAGUGGAUAAUAAAGCCCAAUAUUGCCUAAAACGGUAGAUAAAGUAGCAUGGAGCAAUCAAAAAUUAUAGAUACGUUGGAGACGUAUCAGCAUGCUUUGCCACAUAUUUCAUUUGCCAUUUAUUGUGUGAGCAUGUUUGUUGCAUAUUUUACUCAUUCAAGGACAUCCACUUGUUGUUUUGAUUGUUUGGUUUCUUUUUCUUUUGCCAAGUGGAUGGACAAGAAUGCCUAAGAACCUUCUCUAGCUAUCUAUGCUUUUCUCGUCUCAAUCUCUAUUUAUGCUACAUCACAAAGUUUGAUCAAGUCAGAUUCGAACCACUCUGUGUGAGGAGCACUCGGAGUCCCUGAUUCGUCAUAGACUUAAACUUCCAAAACCUCUUUGUGCAUUUCGGUCUGACCGAGAACUCCAUUUCGGUCAAACUGAGUUCACUAAGUUGAUCUAGGUUUUCAUCUCGGUGCAAGAAAUUUGAACACUUCGGUCACACCGAGUUGCAGCAACCGCUUGCGAUUCUGCAAUCUCGGUGCCACCGAGUUGUUCCAUGAUACGUCUUCAACGUAUCUAUAAUUUAUGAAGCAUUCAUGCUAUUAUAUUAUCUGUUUUGGAUGUUUAUGGGCUUUAUUAUACACUUUUAUAUUAUUUUUGGGACUAACCUAUUAACCGGAGGCCCAACCCAUAUUGCUGUUUUCUUGCCUAUUUCAGUGUUUCGAAGAAAAGGAAUAUCAAACGGAGUCCAAACGGAAUGAAACCUUCGGGAGCGUUAUUUUUGGAACGAAUGUGAUCCAGGAGACUUGGAGUUGAAGUCAAGGAAGCUUCAAGGUGGCCACGAGGGUGGGGGCGUGCCCCCCCCACUGGGCACGCGCCCUGUCUUGUGGGCCCCUCGAGCAUCCCCUGACCGACUUCUUUCACCUAUAUAAGUCCAUAUACCCUAAAACCUUCAGAGAUGAAGAUAGAUCUGGAGUUCCACUGCCGCACACCUCUGUAGCCACCAAAAACCUCUCGGGAGCCCUUUCUGGCACCCUGUCGGAGGGGGAACCCAUCACCAGUGGCCAUCUUCAUCAUCCCGACGCUCUCCAUGAUGAGGAGGGAAUAGUUCACCCUCGGGGCUGAGGGUAUGUACCAGUAGCUAUGUGUUUGAUCUCUCUCUCUCUCUCUCUCUCUCUCUCUCUCUCUCUCGUGUUCUCUCUAUGGCACGAUCUUGAUGUAUCGCGAGCUUUGCUAUUAUAGUUGGAUCUUAUGAUGUUUCUCCCCCUCUACUCUCUUGUGAUGAAUUGAGUUUUCCCUUUGAAGUUAUCUUGUCGGAUUGAGUCUUUAAGGAUUUGAGAACACUUGAUGUAUGUCUUGCCGUGCUUAUCUGUGGUGACAAUGGGAUAUCACGUGAUCCACUUGAUGUAUGUUUUGGUGAUCAACUUGCGGGCUCCACCCAUGAACCUAUGCAUAGGGGUUGGCACACGUUUUCGUCUUAACUCUCCGGUAUAAACUUUGGGGCACUCUUUGAAUUACUUUGUGUUGGUUGAAUAGAUGAAUCUGAGAUUGUGUGAUGCAUAUCGUAUAAUCAUGCCCACAGAUACUUGAGGUGACAAUGGAGUAUCUAGGUGACAUUAGGGUUUUGGUUGAUUUGUGUCUUAAGGUGUUAUUCUAGUACGAACUCUAUGAUAGAUUGAAUGGAAAGAAUAGCUUCAUGUUAUUUUACUACGGACUCUUGAAUAGAUAGAACAGAAAGGAUAACUUUGAGGUGGUUUCGUACCCUACCAUAAUCUCUUCGUUUGUUCUCCGCUAUUAGUGUCUUUGGAGUGACUCUUUGUUGCAUGUUGAGGGAUAGUUAUGUGAUCCAAUUAUGUUAUUAUUGUUGAGAGAACUUGCACUAGUGAAAGUAUGAACCCUAUGCCUUGUUUCCUACCAUUGCAAUACCGUUUACGCUCACUUUUAUCGCUUGCUACCUUGCUGUUUUUAUAUUUUCAGAUUACAAAUACCUAUAUCUACCAUCCAUAUUGCACUUGUAUCACCAUCUCUUCGCAAACUAGUGCACCUAUACAAUUUACCAUUGUAUUGGGUGUGUUGGGGACACAAGAGACUCUUUGUUAUUUGGUUGCAGGGUUGUUUGAGAGAGACCAUCUUCAUCCUACGCCUCCCACGGAUUGAUAAACCUUAGGUCAUCCACUUGAGGGAAAUUUGCUACUGUCCUACAAACCUCUGCACUUGGAGGCCCAACAACGUCUACAAGAAGAAGGUUGUGUAGUAGACAUCAAGCUCUUUUCUGGCGCCGUUGCCGGGGAGGUGAGUGCUUGAAGGUAUAUCUUUAGAUCUUGCAAUCGAAUCUUUUUGUUUCUUGUUUUAUCACUAGUUUAUUCUAUAAAAGAAAACUACAAAAAAAUGGAAUUAUGUUUGCCUCAUAUGCUUCAUCCUUUUAAUAUCUUUCGUAAGUAUGAUGAAAAGGAAAAUUGUGCUCAAGUGCUAGAAGAAGAAUGCAUUAAAAUGUUUGGUACUAGAUCUUUGUAUGAUGAGCAUGAUUGCAAUGUUGUUAGUAUGAAUUCCUUGAAUAUCCAUGAUGCUAAUGAUAUGCAAAGCCACAAGCUUGGGGAAG
RNAcentral lists this long non-coding RNA (22428 nucleotides) under Triticum aestivum (bread wheat). RNAcentral describes it as "long non-coding RNA (TAES_LNC022738)". Lineage: Eukaryota; Viridiplantae; Streptophyta; Magnoliopsida; Poales; Poaceae. The record is from RNAcentral.